This 72-nucleotide transfer RNA is filed under the name Heterocephalus glaber (naked mole-rat). It matches the Rfam family "tRNA". Rfam says of the family: Transfer RNA (tRNA) molecules are approximately 80 nucleotides in length. The record is from Rfam by way of RNAcentral. Lineage: Eukaryota; Metazoa; Chordata; Mammalia; Rodentia; Bathyergidae.
UGGGGUGUAGCUCAGGGGUAGAGCGUUUGACUACAGAUCAAGAGGUUCCUUGUUCAAGUACAAGUACCCUCU